UACUAGAGUAGCACUCGCAUAUCAAUAAGCGGAGGAAAAGAAACUAACAAGGAUUCCCCUAGUAACGGCGAGUGAAGCGGGAAGAGCUCAAAUUUGAAAUCUUAAAGGGCUUCCCUUUACGAAUUGUAGUUUAAAGAAGUGUUUUCUGUUGAGGUUUUGGUAAAAGUUCUUUGGAAUAGGACAUCAUAGAGGGUGAGAAUCCCGUAUUUGACCUUUACUUUCAACUUUGUGAUACACUUUCAAAGAGUCGGAUUGUUUGGGAAUGCAGUCCAAAAUGGGUGGUAAAUUUCAUCUAAAGCUAAAUAUUGGCGAGAGACCGAUAGCGAACAAGUACCGUGAGGGAAAGAUGAAAAGAACUUUGAAAAGAGAGUUAAACAGUACGUGAAAUUGUCAAAAGGGAAGCGUUUGACACCAGUGUUGUUUUUCUGAAAAUCAAUUAAAGAACUGUUUAUGCUAAGCUGUUUAGACUUUAUCAGCUAACUGUUUAGUUUUGAGCUUUUCUUUAAUGCACUUUUCAGUUAACAAGUCAACAUCAAUUUCUUUUGCUGUAAAAAAGCUUGAGGAAGGUGGCUUGAGAUUCGUCUUAAGUGUUUAUAGCCUCUUGCCUAUGCAGUCGGAGAGAUUGAGGUCUGCAGCGUAGAUCCUUCGGGGCUAAAUGCAUUUGUGCUAAGUUAUAGCAUUUUAUAGACAACUUGUUGACUAUGAUUUGUCUUGUAGCUUACUCGCUUAUGUUAUUUUACCUACGCUUAGGAUGUUGAUCUACAGAGCGAGAGU
This 774-nucleotide ribosomal RNA is filed under the name uncultured Neocallimastigales. Its description in RNAcentral is "partial large subunit ribosomal RNA". It matches the Rfam family "Eukaryotic large subunit ribosomal RNA", at positions 20 to 635 of the family's 3401-position model. Lineage: Eukaryota; Fungi; Neocallimastigomycota; Neocallimastigomycetes; Neocallimastigales. The record is from RNAcentral.